This is an RNA transcript of Manihot esculenta (cassava), 1438 nucleotides long. RefSeq lists it as uncharacterized. The record is from RefSeq and is a predicted model, not a curated record. The transcript is spliced from 6 exons. NCBI's taxonomy places the organism in Eukaryota, Viridiplantae, Streptophyta, Magnoliopsida, Malpighiales, Euphorbiaceae.
AAAGAGUUUUAAAGGAGUAGGUUAUACUCAUAGUUGGUUACCGGUGCUUGGAGUAGUUCUCGCUUCCUAAUUAAUAAAAAUGGCGGCAUCAGAGACUCAGCAAAGUGGAAAUGGAAGCGACCUUGGAGAGAUCCUAAAACCCUUCUACAACAGAGCUUCUGAAGCUGAGGAUCGAUUGUCUAGACUUGAACUUGCUCUUGCAAGUAAGAAGGAUGCUGAAAAUGAGAAACUUCUGAAAACAAUAAGUGAACUUCAGUCAAAGCUAGAAGGUGCAAAUGCACAGCUAGCUUCUGAACAAGAGAAGGCUAAGAAGCUUGCAAUGGAAAAUGCAAAGCUCCAGUAUCGUAUUUCGCAUCUUGUCCAGGCAGUUCGUGAUGGUGACUCCAAGUUGGAGAACUUGACAGGAGCACAGACCAUCACAAAGCUGGAAGACGUACGACUGUGAACUAGCAGCGAUACUGUCAACAGUGCUACUUAAAAGUUUAUAUUUUUUUUCAAUUGACAAUGAAAAUAUCAAGGCUGGCCAAGAAGAGAAGGCCUGUAGAAAGCAUGGCUUUGUGCAAUCUCGAUGCGUUCCCGGGGAUCGUUCAAAGUUUCAUCCCUUAGUGCUUGUAAAAUAGCUUGUGAUGAAUGUUCCCUGCAAGAUCCAAAAAAUCAAACAUAAGCAGAAGGGUUUAGAUUCACCAAUGGUGGGAACAAACUCCAUUGAAUUGACUGAAAGACUUGGAAGACUACGUACAAAAAUGCAUUCAAGAGUUUAAACCCAAAUUAGAACUGAAUCAAUAAAAAUAAAGUGUAUUCCUUGCGGGGUAUUUUGUCGACUAGGAAAUUACCUUGAUAUAAGUAUUUUAUACAGUGUUUUUAAGAUGGGGCAGAGCUCAACAGGUGCGACAGGCUUCUUUCCGUCGGGAUGCAGUACACUCAAGCUUGGCUGACUUAGGAGUUCAUAGAAAGCUUUAACUGCAGAAACACCCUGCAAGAAUAGAGAGGCAUAAGUAAUGGAGGCUCAUAAAUGAAACAGGACCAUAAGUGAUGGCAAAGAAUGUUGCAUUCUCCUAUACGACACUCAAACAUUAGACUAACUAAAUGGAUUCGCCUCGAACAGAUCCGAAGAAAUAAAGUGGCAAGAUCAACAAAAAAAUACCUGAAUCAUUCCUUUCCCACUGAUGCUAUCGCCCAUGUCCCGGUUGAGUUCCCCUUUUGCUAACAUUUGGCCAUACCAUGCGUUUCGACCUUUUAACAAGGUUACAUAAGUGUCUGCCAGCAAAGGCCCUGCGAGCUUCUCAGGUUCUUCGGCCAAUAAAUGAGUAAUAAAUAUCAUCUCUGAUGUACAAUGUGCGAAAUAUACUGACUUGCUCGUAGCACUCUCAUUAGUAAGGGCUGCUACCAUUCCUGUGAAAAUCAAAUGGGAAAUAUUUAAGCAGAUGUACUUAUCAUU